AUUGAACGCUGGCGGCAUGCCUUACACAUGCAAGUCGAACGGUAACAGGUCUUCGGUUGCUGACGAGUGGCGAACGGGUGAGUAAUACUUCGGAACGUGCCCAGACGUGUGGGAUAACGAGGCGAAAGCUUUGCUAAUACCUCAUACGAUCUAAGGAUGAUAGCCGGGGACCGCAAGGCCUUGCGCGUUUGGAGCGGCCGAUGGCAGAUUAGGUAGUUGGUGGGAUAAAAGCUUACCAAGCCGACGAUCUGUAGCUGGUCUGAGAGGACGACCAGCCACACUGGGACUGAGACACGGCCCAGACUCCUACGGGAGGCAGCAGUGGGGAAUUUUGGACAAUGGGCGAAAGCCUGAUCCAGCAAUGCCGCGUGCAGGAUGAAGGCCUUCGGGUUGUAAACUGCUUUUGUACGGAACGAAAAGGCUCUGGCUAAUACCUGGGGCACAUGACGGUACCGUAAGAAUAAGCACCGGCUAACUACGUG
This 482-nucleotide ribosomal RNA is filed under the name uncultured bacterium. RNAcentral describes it as "partial 16S ribosomal RNA". It matches the Rfam family "Bacterial small subunit ribosomal RNA", at positions 30 to 507 of the family's 1533-position model. The record is from RNAcentral.